UGAUCAGCAUGCCGCGUGAGUGAGAUGCCUUAGGGUUUGAAAGCUGUUUUUAUAUUGAGAAGCCCUCUACCUGUAAGGAAUGACCGGACUAUUCCAAGCCAGAACGCCUAGCUCCACGCCGGGAGCCGCGGUAAUACGGAGGGUCCGGGGGUAAUCCGGAUUCAUUGGGUUGAAAGGGUCCGUAAGGGGGACGUUAAGUUCAAGCUGAAGUCCUAUCCCUCAACUAUACAUCUGCAUUUCAUUCUGAUUUUCUUGACUUCAGAUCAGGUGGGUGGAAUGUGUAUUGUAGCGGAGAAAUGCAUAGAUAUGACAUAGAACACCGAUUGCGAAGGGAACUCACUACCCUGAUACUGACGCUGCAGGACGAAAGCGAGGCGAGGGAACACGAUUAGAUACCCUGGUAUUCCACGCCGUAAACGAUGAUAACUCUACUGCUAACGAUAUACUGUUAUUGCCUAACCGACAGCGAUAAAUAGUCCACCUGGGGAGUACGGUCGCAAGAUUGAAACUCAAAGGAAUUGACGG
Molecule: ribosomal RNA, 525 nt
Filed under: uncultured marine bacterium
Lineage: Bacteria
Description: bacterial SSU rRNA
Rfam family: Bacterial small subunit ribosomal RNA
Source: RNAcentral